GUGAGGAAUAUUGGUCAAUGGACGAGAGUCUGAACCAGCCAAGUAGCGUGAAGGAUGACUGCCCUAUGGGUUGUAAACUUCUUUUAUAAGGGAAUAAAGUGAGAGACGUGUCCCUUUUUGUAUGUACCUUAUGAAUAAGGAUCGGCUAACUCCGUGCCAGCAGCCGCGGUAAUACGGAGGAUCCAAGCGUUAUCCGGAUUUAUUGGGUUUAAAGGGAGCGUAGGUUGACAUAUAAGUCAGCUGUGAAAGUUUACGGCUCAACCGUGAAAUUGCAGUUGAUACUGUAUGUCUUGAGUGUACAAGAGGUGGGCGGAAUUCGUGGUGUAGCGGUGAAAUGCUUAGAUAUCACGAAGAACUCCAAUUGCGAAGGCAGCUCACUGGGGUACAACUGACACUGAGGCUCGAAAGUGUGGGUAUCAAACAGGAUUAGAAACCCUAGAGUCC
Molecule: ribosomal RNA, 444 nt
Filed under: uncultured bacterium
Lineage: Bacteria
Description: partial 16S ribosomal RNA
Rfam family: Bacterial small subunit ribosomal RNA
Source: RNAcentral